CUCUUGUUUUGCAGAUGAAAACAGCAGAACUUCGCACCGCAGGAAAUGACAAUCUUGAGCCCAGGGAGCAGAACAUACGGAUAUGCUACUUUGUAUAUUAACCAAAGAAUGUGUGAAGGGGAAAGAUUAUCUUGGAUUACCUGUGUGACAGACUGGAGAUGUGAUAGUAUAAGCAGAGGUUAGAGUGAUACUUCUUGAAGAAAGUGAAGAAGCGACAAGGAUUGCAUGAAGCUUCUGAAACCUAGAGCCUUCUGCCCCUGGAAAAUGAUAACAACAACAGAAAGAACUGAUGGGGUAAAGGAGGCUGAAGGAGGAUAAGCCAUUGCCUUGAUCUCAUGGUGAUUACUAGAAAGGAAACAGUUUACCUUAAAAGAUGUGGUAUGUUCUACACUCAAUGGGAGGUAAACGAAAACUGUCUCAGAAUUCAAACUCUACAGAACACAGAUGUUCCAAAAGACAGACUGGGGGCGCCGCAUCACGGAGAAUGAGACUGUCAGCUGCAAGCACAGAAUUCCUGAUGAAGACCAGGUUGGUGUAAUCAAAACUGACUCUUUCCCAACUAUCGGGGGAAGUGAUGAAGAGUGAGUGGCAAAGGAGACAGGUCUACUUGGGAAGACACGCGAGAAUGUUUCCAAUAGCAGGAGAAAUUCACAAUUCUGCAAAGAGCUGAACCAUGAAACAUAAAGAGAAGAAAAAACACCUGGAAAAGAAAUUCAAAAAACCACCUGUGAAAAAGUCAAGGGGUACAAGAGGAAAGUUGGAUUUACAAGAUAUUCUGCAGUGUACAGCCAAGGUACUGGCCAGAACUCAAGGACACAAAGUGGUGGAUAGUUCUUCCUCAGCCUCAGAGGACCUCUCCUAUGAAGACAAAUUCUUGAAUACAGAUGAGUUCAUUCUCAAAGGUCUGAGGUGGAACAAAGAACUGCACAACUCUCCAGAGGAUGCCACCAAGACACAUGAGAUGGACCCAAGUUCAAAUCAGGAUGCAGGAGAGAAUUUCUCAGCAUCAGAACAUCUGACCUGCAUCUCUUCUUCAAACAAGUGUGUUCCCAUGGACCAGGAUGGUGUUUCUGCAUCUUCUGUGAUUUCGGUGACAAACAGCAGAGGAAUGAGACCACCCAAGCCAGCAAGAGGAAGACAAUGA
Molecule: long non-coding RNA, 1144 nt
Filed under: Fukomys damarensis (Damara mole-rat)
Lineage: Eukaryota; Metazoa; Chordata; Mammalia; Rodentia; Bathyergidae
Description: lncRNA (ENSFDAG00000026680.1)
Source: RNAcentral